This 442-nucleotide ribosomal RNA is filed under the name uncultured bacterium. Its description in RNAcentral is "partial 16S ribosomal RNA". It matches the Rfam family "Bacterial small subunit ribosomal RNA", at positions 339 to 795 of the family's 1533-position model. The record is from RNAcentral.
CUACGGGCGGCUGCAGUGGGGAAUAUUGGGCAAUGGGCGCAAGCCUGACCCAGCAACGCCGCGUGAGGGAAGAAUGUCUUCGGAUUGUAAACCUCUGUCCUUGGGGACGAAAAAAAUGACGGUACCCAAGGAGGAAGCUCCGGCUAACUACGUGCCAGCAGCCGCGGUAAUACGUAGGGAGCAAGCGUUGUCCGGAAUUAUUGGGCGUAAAGGGUGCGUAGGCGGCGCUGUAAGUCAGAUGUGAAAUCCCCGGGCUUAACUCGGGAGUUGCAUUUGAAACUACAGUGCUUGAGUAAAGAAGGGGUAAGUGGAAUUCCUAGUGUAGCGGUGGUAUGCGUAGAUAUUAGGAGGAACACCAGUGGCGAAGGCGACUUACUGGUCUUUUACUGACGCUGAGGCACGAAAGCGUGGGGAGCAAACAGGAUUAGAUACCCCCGUAGUC